AUUCAACUGACGAGUUGCAAAUAGGACGAAACGCGCGUCAUAGAU
This 45-nucleotide non-coding RNA is filed under the name Schistosoma haematobium. Lineage: Eukaryota; Metazoa; Platyhelminthes; Trematoda; Strigeidida; Schistosomatidae. The record is from RNAcentral.